RNAcentral lists this small RNA (777 nucleotides) under Arabidopsis thaliana (thale cress). RNAcentral's name for it is "ATSL044300". Lineage: Eukaryota; Viridiplantae; Streptophyta; Magnoliopsida; Brassicales; Brassicaceae. The record is from RNAcentral.
AAUAUAUGAAUAUUGAAAUCCAAGGUAACAUGUUCGUUACUUACACAUGCAACAAAAGUGAAAGUUAGACCAUCUCCAAUGUAAGACCAUCUCAAAUGCAUAUUUCUAUUUUUUUCUUCUAUUUUAGAGAAAAUAGAGUUGAUUUUACUCUAUUGUAUUCCUCUAAAAUAGAGUUUUCUCUAAAAUUGAGGAAAAAAAUAGAGAUUACUUUAUAUAUAGAGAUUAUUCUAUAUAUAGAGUAAAAAGUGAGAUUCCUCUAUUUGUUUCCGAUAUUUUAGAGUAAACUCUAUUUAAGAGGCAUACAUUGGAGCAAAAUAUUUCUAAAAUAGAGUAUGAUUUGCAUUGGAGAUGCUUUAAGCCUCAAUUUUUUUCUCUCUAAAAUAGAGUAUGAUUUCUCUCCAAUGUAUCCCUUUUUUCUCUAAAAUAGAGUAUGAUUUCUCUUCAAUGUAUCCCUUUAUAUGUUACUCUAAAAUAGAGGUAAUGUAACAAAAGAUAUAAUUACUCAAUAUAUAGAACAAUCCUAUCAUUUAUUCUAUUUAAGAAUCACAUAUAGAGUAGGGUUAGAGAGAAUGUACUUGAAAAUAGACAUUUAGAAGAAAAUUUUGAGUGGCGUUGAAGAUGCUCUUACACAUUCAACAAAUUCUCUAUUAUAGCACCAUAGUCGUUUCACAUUCCUUCGUCACCCUCUUUUUCAUUUUAAUUUCCAUUUUUUAAAUAAAAUUUAUUCACUCAAAAAUGAUUGAAAUUUUUCAACUUGGAGCCACAAUUAUAUUAGUA